AGAGUUUGAUCAUGGCUCAGGACGAACGCUGGCGGCGCGCCUAAUACAUGCAAGUCGAGCGAAGACGCUUUGUGCCUUGGCUUCGGUCAAGAAUCAAAGUGGACUGAGCGGCGGACGGGUGAGUAACGCGUGGGCAACCUGCCCUAUCGCCCGGGAUAACCCUCGGAAACGAGGGCUAAUACCGGAUGCGGUCACGAGCUCGCAUGGGUUUGUGACGAAAGAUUAUUGCGAUAGGAUGGGCCCGCGUCCCAUUAGCUAGUUGGUAGGGUAACGGCCUACCAAGGCGACGAUGGGUAGCCGGCCUGAGAGGGUGAACGGCCACACUGGGACUGAGACACGGCCCAGACUCCUACGGGAGGCAGCAGUAGGGAAUCUUCGGCAAUGGGCGAAAAGCCUGACCGAGCGACGCCGCGUGAGGGAAGAAGGCCUUCGGGUCGUAAACCUCUGUCCUUGGGGAAGAAGGUGACGGUACCCAAGGAGGAAGCCCCGGCUAACUACGUGCCAGCAGCCGCGGUAAUACGUAGGGGGCGAGCGUUGUCCGGAAUUACUGGGCGUAAAGGGUGCGUAGGCGGCCAUUUAAGUCUUGUGUGAAAGGCCCCGGCUUAACCGGGGAGCUGCAUGGGAAACUGGAUGGCUUGAGUGCUGGAGAGGGUUGCGGAAUUCCCAGUGUAGCGGUGAAAUGCGUAGAUAUUGGGAGGAACACCAGUGGCGAAGGCGGCAACCUGGACAGUAACUGACGCUGAGGCACGACAGCUGGGGGAGCAAACAGGAUUAGAUACCCUGGUAGUCCCAGCCGUAAACGAUGAGUGCUAGGUGUUGCGGGUAUCGACCCCUGCAGUGCCGCAGUUAACGCAAUAAGCACUCCGCCUGGGGAGUACGGCCGCAAGGCUGAAACUCAAAGGAAUUGACGG
RNAcentral lists this ribosomal RNA (911 nucleotides) under uncultured bacterium. RNAcentral's name for it is "bacterial SSU rRNA". It matches the Rfam family "Bacterial small subunit ribosomal RNA", at positions 8 to 916 of the family's 1533-position model. The record is from RNAcentral.